Molecule: ribosomal RNA, 440 nt
Filed under: uncultured bacterium
Lineage: Bacteria
Description: bacterial SSU rRNA
Rfam family: Bacterial small subunit ribosomal RNA
Source: RNAcentral
AACGCGAAGAACCUUACCAAGGCUUGACAUAUACCGGAAACGGCUAGAGAUAGUCGCCCCCUUGUGGUCGGUAUACAGGUGGUGCAUGGUUGUCGUCAGCUCGUGUCGUGAGAUGUUGGGUUAAGUCCCGCAACGAGCGCAACCCUUGUUCUGUGUUGCCAGCAUGCCCUUCGGGGUGAUGGGGACUCACAGGAGACUGCCGGGGUCAACUCGGAGGAAGGUGGGGACGACGUCAAAUCAUCAUGCCCCUUAUGUCUUGGGCUGCACACGUGCUACAAUGGUCGGUACAAAGGGCUGCGAUGCCGCGAGGCGGAGCGAAUCCCAAAAAGCCGGUCUCAGUUCGGAUUGGGGUCUGCAACUCGACCCCAUGAAGUUGGAGUUGCUAGUAAUCGCAGAUCAGCAUGCUGCGGUGAAUACGUUCCCGGGCCUUGUACACACCG